CCAACCCAGUGCCUCACGCAUGCUAGGCAAGCACUCUACCACUGAGCCACAACUCCAGUCCCCGAUUCUGACUUUUGAAAACGUAUCUAAACCUAAGAAUUUCAGAUAAAGAGAUGUAGCUUCUGCAGUACACAUAGAUUCAGAGUUCCCUGGUCGGGAAUUAUUCUUUUAUUAUUAUUAAUAUACAAGGAGUAUAGAAGUUACUCUGUACCAGGAAGAAGAUGAAGACCAAGAGCAUAAGAGAUUACAUACAGAGAUUAUAACACCUGCUGUCCAGGAGAGAAGGACAGCAGUCUUAAGCCAAAGCAUAUAAUAAUGAGCCACAAGUGGCAUUCAUUUAUUCAUUCAUUCACAAAUAUUUAUGGCAGUAAACAAAAUGAAGACCCACAAUCACAGAACUUAUAUUACUCAAUAUAUAAUAUAAUGUUAGGUCAGUACUAUGAAAAAAGAGGUAAACUAGGAUACAGAGAUAGGGAGGGGAUAACUACUGAGAAAAAUGAGAAAGGGAGAAAUUCCUUUGGUUCAUGUGGUUAAACAUAACCUCUCAGAGGAGGUGACCUUUGAUCAGAGUUGAAUCAAGUUGGGAACACACUGUAAAUACCAGGGAAAUGUUUUGUUUUGUUUUGUUUUUCACUCACAGAAAAUGAGAAUGGGAGUUUGGAGGAUCUGCAAGGAGGCCAAGUGUGUAGGGUAAAAAAAUGGGAGGAGUGGUAGGAAAUGGAGUUUUAGGAGUAGCCAUGGGCCAAGUCCUAUAGGAAGUCUGUGAGGUAGAGAGUGGCACUGGAAGGAGGGCAUGGUCCAAGGACUUCUCCUUGUGAAGGGUGCUAGAAAAGACUUCAUAGUCUUAUCCAAUGAAUAGGGGCUAUCAGGUGGGACAGGAGGGAAGGGCUUCCCAAGCAGAGGAUGCCGGGUAAGCAAAGCUCCGAAGGAAGAAACAGCCUGGCUUCUUCAAGAAACUGGGACUGGUACGCUUUGGCUGGAACCUUGUUCAUGAGGGAGAAAGCAGAUUAUGGGAGAGAGGAA
This 1023-nucleotide long non-coding RNA is filed under the name Marmota monax (woodchuck). Lineage: Eukaryota; Metazoa; Chordata; Mammalia; Rodentia; Sciuridae. The record is from RNAcentral.